Molecule: ribosomal RNA, 253 nt
Filed under: uncultured bacterium
Lineage: Bacteria
Description: partial 16S ribosomal RNA
Rfam family: Bacterial small subunit ribosomal RNA
Source: RNAcentral
UACGUAGGGAGCAAGCGUUGUCCGGAAUCAUUGGGCGUAAAGCGCGCGUAGGUGGCCUCAUAAGUCCGCUGUGAAAGUCAAAGGCUCAACCUUUGAAAGCCGGUGGAUACUGUGAGGCUAGAGUACGGAAGAGGCGAGUGGAAUUCCUGGUGUAGCGGUGGAAUGCGCAGAUAUCAGGAGGAACACCAAUAGCGAAGGCAGCUCGCUGGGACGUUACUGACACUGAGGCGCGAAAGCUAGGGUAGCAAACGGG